Molecule: ribosomal RNA, 1439 nt
Filed under: uncultured bacterium
Lineage: Bacteria
Also listed under: 1 other name
Description: bacterial SSU rRNA
Rfam family: Bacterial small subunit ribosomal RNA
Source: RNAcentral
GCUACAGGCUUAACACAUGCAAGUCGAGGGGCAGCAUGGUCUUAGCUUGCUAAGGCCGAUGGCGACCGGCGCACGGGUGAGUAACACGUAUCCAACCUGCCGUCUACUCUUGGACAGCCUUCUGAAAGGAAGAUUAAUACAAGAUGGCAUCAUGAGUCCGCAUGUUCACAUGAUUAAAGGUAUUCCGGUAGACGAUGGGGAUGCGUUCCAUUAGAUAGUAGGCGGGGUAACGGCCCACCUAGUCUUCGAUGGAUAGGGGUUCUGAGAGGAAGGUCCCCCACAUUGGAACUGAGACACGGUCCAAACUCCUACGGGAGGCAGCAGUGAGGAAUAUUGGUCAAUGGGCGAGAGCCUGAACCAGCCAAGUAGCGUGAAGGAUGACUGCCCUAUGGGUUGUAAACUUCUUUUAUAAAGGAAUAAAGUCGGGUAUGGAUACCCGUUUGCAUGUACUUUAUGAAUAAGGAUCGGCUAACUCCGUGCCAGCAGCCGCGGUAAUACGGAGGAUCCGAGCGUUAUCCGGAUUUAUUGGGUUUAAAGGGAGCGUAGAUGGAUGUUUAAGUCAGUUGUGAAAGUUUGCGGCUCAACCGUAAAAUUGCAGUUGAUACUGGAUAUCUUGAGUGCAGUUGAGGCAGGCGGAAUUCGUGGUGUAGCGGUGAAAUGCUUAGAUAUCACGAAGAACUCCGAUUGCGAAGGCAGCCUGCUAAGCUGCAACUGACAUUGAGGCUCGAAAGUGUGGGUAUCAAACAGGAUUAGAUACCCUGGUAGUCCACACGGUAAACGAUGAAUACUCGCUGUUUGCGAUAUACUGCAAGCGGCCAAGCGAAAGCGUUAAGUAUUCCACCUGGGGAGUACGCCGGCAACGGUGAAACUCAAAGGAAUUGACGGGGGCCCGCACAAGCGGAGGAACAUGUGGUUUAAUUCGAUGAUACGCGAGGAACCUUACCCGGGCUUAAAUUGCAGAUGAAUUACGGUGAAAGCCGUAAGCCGCAAGGCAUCUGUGAAGGUGCUGCAUGGUUGUCGUCAGCUCGUGCCGUGAGGUGUCGGCUUAAGUGCCAUAACGAGCGCAACCCUUGUUGUCAGUUACUAACAGGUUCCGCUGAGGACUCUGACAAGACUGCCAUCGUAAGAUGUGAGGAAGGUGGGGAUGACGUCAAAUCAGCACGGCCCUUACGUCCGGGGCUACACACGUGUUACAAUGGGGGGUACAGAGGGCCGCUACCACGCGAGUGGAUGCCAAUCCCCAAAACCUCUCUCAGUUCGGACUGGAGUCUGCAACCCGACUCCACGAAGCUGGAUUCGCUAGUAAUCGCGCAUCAGCCACGGCGCGGUGAAUACGUUCCCGGGCCUUGUACACACCGCCCGUCAAGCCAUGGGAGCCGGGGGUACCUGAAGUGCGUAACCGCGAGGAGCGCCCUAGGGUAAAACUGGUGACUGGGGCU